Cordylochernes scorpioides is the source of this 72-nucleotide non-coding RNA. NCBI's taxonomy places the organism in Eukaryota, Metazoa, Arthropoda, Arachnida, Pseudoscorpiones, Chernetidae. The record is from the annotation of a GenBank genome assembly.
UUCCCACGCCGGGAAUCGAACCCGGGCCUUCUGGAUGGAAGUCGAAUAUCUUAGACACUAUACAAUGUGGGA